This 500-nucleotide ribosomal RNA is filed under the name uncultured bacterium. RNAcentral's name for it is "partial 16S ribosomal RNA". It matches the Rfam family "Bacterial small subunit ribosomal RNA", at positions 30 to 523 of the family's 1533-position model. The record is from RNAcentral.
AUUGAACGCUGGCGGAAUGCUUUACACAUGCAAGUUGAACGGCAGCACGGGGGCAACCCUGGUGGCGAGUGGCGAACGGGUGAGUAAUACAUCGGAACGUGCCCAGUCGUGGGGGAUAACGUAGCGAAAGUUACGCUAAUACCGCAUACGAUCUACGGAUGAAAGCGGGGGACUGUAAGGCCUCGCGCGAUUGGAGCGGCCGAUGUCAGAUGAGGUAGUUGGGGGGGUAAAGGCUCACCAAGCCGACGAUCUGUAGCUGGUCUGAGAGGACGACCAGCCACACUGGGACUGAGACACGGCCCAGACUCCUACGGGAGGCAGCAGUGGGGAAUUUUGGACAAUGGGCGCAAGCCUGAUCCAGCCAUUCCGCGUGCAGGACGAAGGCCUUCGGGUUGUAAACUGCUUUUGUACGGAACGAAAAGGCUCUGGUUAAUACCUGGGGCUCAUGACGGUACCGUAAGAAUAAGCACCGGCUAACUACGUGCCAGCAGCCGCCGUAA